RNAcentral lists this long non-coding RNA (156 nucleotides) under Macaca mulatta (Rhesus monkey). Its description in RNAcentral is "lncRNA (ENSMMUG00000043047.2)". Lineage: Eukaryota; Metazoa; Chordata; Mammalia; Primates; Cercopithecidae. The record is from RNAcentral.
GACUGUUCUUGAGGACAAUGUUGGAGAAGAAUAGAAGCUUUUCCUCUCCUCCUGGUGUUUGGAAUCUUUGAUUCUCAGCUGUAGAAGGAAAAUAUCAAGCGGGAUAUAAGGAAUACAAAUGGUUUUUCCUCCAAGUCUUGACUGAGGCUGAGUCUA